GUGUCAGUGCUGUUUACAGUCGGUUUUAUUAUUUUAUUCUUUCAAGGCACCAACAAGAAUACACAGAAGUGUUUGGUUUUCGUCUUCUUACAUAGAAAGGACAAGAUAAUCGUCGGAGUUUGUGUUUGAACGCUCCCCAAUGAUGAGUUAUGCUGAAAAGCCAGAGGACAU
Long non-coding RNA from Cynoglossus semilaevis (tongue sole), 171 nucleotides. RefSeq lists it as uncharacterized. Lineage: Eukaryota; Metazoa; Chordata; Actinopteri; Pleuronectiformes; Cynoglossidae. The transcript has 2 exons. The record is from RefSeq and is a predicted model, not a curated record.